RNAcentral lists this ribosomal RNA (119 nucleotides) under Triticum aestivum (bread wheat). RNAcentral also lists the same sequence under 1 other name. The record is from RNAcentral. Lineage: Eukaryota; Viridiplantae; Streptophyta; Magnoliopsida; Poales; Poaceae.
GGAUGCGAUCAUACCAGCACUAAAGCACCGGAUCCCAUCAGAACUCCGAAGUUAAGCGUGCCUGGGCGAGAGUAGUACUAGGAUGGGUGACCUCCUAGGAAGUCCUCGUGUUGCAUUCC